This 253-nucleotide ribosomal RNA is filed under the name uncultured bacterium. Its description in RNAcentral is "partial 16S ribosomal RNA". It matches the Rfam family "Bacterial small subunit ribosomal RNA", at positions 524 to 776 of the family's 1533-position model. The record is from RNAcentral.
UACGUAGGGUGCGAGCGUUAAUCGGAAUUACUGGGCGUAAAGCGUGCGCAGGCGGUUCGUUAAGUUCGUUGUGAAAGCCCCGGGCUCAACCUGGGAACUGCAAUGGAAACUGGCGGGCUUGAGUGCGGCAGAGGGGGGUGGAAUUCCGCGUGUAGCAGUGAAAUGCGUAGAGAUGCGGAGGAACACCGAUGGCGAAGGCAGCCCCCUGGGCCAACACUGACGCUCAGGCACGAAAGCGUGGGGAGCAAACAGG